UACAGAGGGGGCAAGCGUUAUUCGGAAUUAUUGGGCGUAAAGGGCGCGUAGGCGGCUUUGCAAGUGGCGGGUGAAAUCCCUCGGCUUAACCGAGGAACUGCCUGCCAGACUGUGAGGCUUGAGACCGGGAGAGGUGAGUGGAAUUCCCAGUGUAGCGGUGAAAUUCGUAGAUAUGGGGAGGAACACCGGUGGCGAAGGCGGCCACCUGGACGGUAACUGACGCUGAGACGCGAAAGCGUGGGGAGCAAACAGG
This 253-nucleotide ribosomal RNA is filed under the name uncultured bacterium. RNAcentral describes it as "partial 16S ribosomal RNA". It matches the Rfam family "Bacterial small subunit ribosomal RNA", at positions 524 to 776 of the family's 1533-position model. The record is from RNAcentral.